This 1039-nucleotide ribosomal RNA is filed under the name Candidatus Levyibacteriota bacterium. RNAcentral's name for it is "partial 23S ribosomal RNA". It matches the Rfam family "Bacterial large subunit ribosomal RNA", at positions 1 to 1012 of the family's 2925-position model. The record is from RNAcentral. Lineage: Bacteria; Candidatus Levyibacteriota.
ACGCUAUUUAUUUAAUGCUAAUAGUGGAUGCCUAGGAAGUGUUGACCGAAGAAGGACGCAUAUGGCUUGCGAAAAGCACCGGGGAAUGGCCUAAUACAUUAUGAUCCGGUGGUGUCCGAAUGGGGAAACCCACGUAUUUAUACGUAGCUUAUUGUAAAGUUAGGAGCCGCAAGGCUUUUAUAUAGUAAUAAGCGGGGUACCGGACCAACUGAAACAUCUAAGUAGUCCGAGGAAAAGAAAUCACAGAGAUUCCGUCAGUAGCGGUGAGCGAAAGCGGAUCAGCUCAAACCAUAUAGCAAUAUAUGGGGUUGUAGGAGAACUUGCUUAAAUGCAAAAGAAGUCAAAAAAGAAAAUUGUAGAAGAACACGUUGGAAAGCGUGACCAAAGAGGGUGACAGUCCUGUAUUCGAAACGAUUUUCUCUUCUUGUUAAUUCCUGAGUACCAUGGGGUACGAUUAAACCCUGUGGGAAUCUGGGGCGACCACGCUCCAAAGCUAAACAUCAACAUUUACCGAUAGUGAACUAGUACCGCGAGGGAAAGGUGAAAAGCACCCCGGGAGGGGGAUGAAAGAGUACCUGAAACUAUUAGCUGACAAGCAGACGAAGUGCGAUUUAUCGUAUGACGUCGUGCCUAUUGAAGAAUGAGCCGGUGAGUUUUUGUAUUGCGCUUUGUUUAAGGGCAAUUUUGUCCGGAGACGUAGUGAAAGCAAUCCCUAACUGGGAUAUCUUGCGCAUUGCAAAAGACCCGAAACCAGGUGAGCUAACCAUGAACAGGGUGAACCCCGAUGAAAAUCGGGGGAAGGCCCGAACUCGUGAUCGCAGCAAUGAUCUGAGACGAUUUGUGGUUAGGGGUGACAUACUAAACGAACCUGGAGAUAGCUGGUUCUCCCCGAAAUAUAUUUUGGUAUAGCCUUAUGAAUGUUUACAGGGGGUAGAGCACUGAAUGGUCUCUGGAGGAGCAAUCUUUCAGGAUCAAUCAAACUCCGAAUACCGUGUAAACUUAAGAAAGAGUCAGACUUGCGGGGCUAAGCUCGUGGGUC